AUUGAACGCUGGCGGCAGGCUUAACACAUGCAAGUCGAACGAGUGGCGGACGGGUGAGUAAUGCUUGGGAAUCUAGCUUAUGGAGGGGGAUAACUACGGGAAACUGUAGCUAAUACCGCGUACCCUAGGAUGAGCCCAAGUGGGAUUAGGGAGUUGGUGAGGUAAAGGCUCACCAAGGCGACGAUCUCUAGCUGGUCUGAGAGGAUGAACAUCCACAUGGGGACUGAGAUACGGCCCAGACUGCGACGAGAGGCGGAAGUGGGGGAUAUUGCCCAAUGGGCGAAAGCCUGAUGCAGCGUGGGCGCGGAGGGGAUGAGGGCUUUCGGGUUGUAAACCUCUUUCGCUAUCGAACGGGUAGGUGGAGAAGAAGCGCCGGCUAACUACGUGCCAGCAGCCGCGGUAAUAC
This 406-nucleotide ribosomal RNA is filed under the name uncultured bacterium. RNAcentral's name for it is "partial 16S ribosomal RNA". It matches the Rfam family "Bacterial small subunit ribosomal RNA", at positions 29 to 526 of the family's 1533-position model. The record is from RNAcentral.